Molecule: transfer RNA, 106 nt
Organism: Paraphaeosphaeria sporulosa
Lineage: Eukaryota; Fungi; Ascomycota; Dothideomycetes; Pleosporales; Didymosphaeriaceae
Rfam family: tRNA
About the family: Transfer RNA (tRNA) molecules are approximately 80 nucleotides in length.
Source: Rfam
GGGCUUGUGGUUUAGUGGUAUAAUUUUCCCUUAGCAUUUGUAUCUCGUCCCUAGACGCGUUUCGAAAGCGUGGGAAAGGUCCUGGGUUCGAUUCCCAGCAAGUCCA